CCAGCGCUAAAAUGUAGUUGGCGAGGUGGUGAUGUGAGUCUGUACCCGCCCACCGCGCGGGGGGAUGAGAUGAAAAGUGAAUAACAUAGAUAGCCGGGUGGGUAGGGCGGGCCUCUUCGCGGCGGGAAAAAAAACAGGAAGAGAAAAAGGCCGCGGCGGGCCCCCCCCCACAGGGGUGGGGGGGGGAGAAGUAUUAUGAAAAUCUACCCCCCAAGCGGGGGAACACCCUCCCCCCCACAGUGGUAAACAAGGGGAGGGGCCCCCUCUCUAAAAAGAGGGCCUUUUCCGGAGAGGAACUUUUAGAGGAGGGGUGUCAAAGGCCGUUGUCACAAAUCCGUUUUGGAAAAAAUUGGGGGAAAAAUCCCCCCCAACGGAGGCCAAACCCCUUUUUUGGGGGUUGCCCUACCCGUUUAGGGGGGGCCUUUUGCAAAAACCUCCCGGGGAUAACCGGAGGAAAGGUGGGGAUGACGUCAAGUCAGCAUGGCCUUUAUUUUUGGGGUACAACACGUGCUCCAAUGGCCGGUACAAACCGUCGCGAUACCGUAAGGUGGAGCUAAUCGGAGAAAGCCGGUCUCAGUUCGGAUCGUAGGCUGCAACUCGCCUGCGUGAAGUUGGAAUCGCUAGUAAUCGCGGAUCAGCACGCCGCGGUGAAUACGUUCCCGGGCCUUGUACACACCGCCCGUCACAUCACGAAAGCCGGUUGUACUAGAAGUCGCCACACUAACCCGCAAGGGAGGGAGGCGCCUAAGGUAUGGUCGGUGAUUGGGGUGAAGUCGUAACAAGGUAA
This 787-nucleotide ribosomal RNA is filed under the name uncultured bacterium. RNAcentral describes it as "partial 16S ribosomal RNA". The stretch from base 218 to 787 matches the Rfam family "Bacterial small subunit ribosomal RNA", at positions 875 to 1499 of the family's 1533-position model. The record is from RNAcentral.